This 499-nucleotide ribosomal RNA is filed under the name uncultured Desulfobulbus sp. RNAcentral's name for it is "bacterial SSU rRNA". It matches the Rfam family "Bacterial small subunit ribosomal RNA", at positions 888 to 1382 of the family's 1533-position model. Lineage: Bacteria; Pseudomonadati; Thermodesulfobacteriota; Desulfobulbia; Desulfobulbales; Desulfobulbaceae. The record is from RNAcentral.
GCCCGCUCAGAACUCAAAGGAAUUGACGGGGCCCGCACAAGCGGUGGAGUAUGUGGUUUAAUUCGAUGCAACGCGAAGAACCUUACCUGGUCUUGACAUCCCGGAGACCCUUAGGAAACUAGGGGGUGCUUCCAUCUGGAAGAAUCUGGAGACAGGUGCUGCAUGGCUGUCGUCAGCUCGUGUCGUGAGAUGUUGGGUUAAGUCCCGCAACGAGCGCAACCCUUGCCUUUAGUUGCCAGCAGUUCGGCUGGGCACUCUAAAGGGACUGCCGGUGUUAAACCGGAGGAAGGUGGGGAUGACGUCAAGUCCUCAUGGCCUUUAUGACCAGGGCUACACACGUACUACAAUGGCCGAUACAAAGGGCAGCGACACUGCGAGGUGAAGCCAAUCCCGUAAAAUCGGUCUCAGUCCGGAUUGGAGUCUGCAACUCGACUCCAUGAAGUUGGAAUCGCUAGUAAUCGUGGAUCAGCAUGCCACGGUGAAUACGUUCCCGGGCCUU